RNAcentral lists this ribosomal RNA (1476 nucleotides) under metagenome. Its description in RNAcentral is "bacterial LSU rRNA". It matches the Rfam family "Bacterial large subunit ribosomal RNA", at positions 1430 to 2925 of the family's 2925-position model. The record is from RNAcentral.
UGGAUAUUCCCGUACCCGAUGUGUGGCGAUGGAGUGACGGAGAAGGCUCAGGCAACCAGCUGCUGGAAUAGCUGGGGCAAGCGAGAUACCUGCGCACCAGGGAAAUCCGGUGCGCGCAGGGGGAAGGCGCGAAGCAUACGGAAAGCUGCGGCAAGUACGGAAAAGCUGAGAGCAGGCUUCCAGGAAAAGCUUCUAGCACAACACGCAUCGGCCCGUACCGAAAAUGGACACACAUGGGCAAGGAGAGAAUCCUGAGGUGAGCGAGAGAACUAUAGCUAAGGAACUCUGCAAAAUGACCCCGUAACUUAGGGAGAAGGGGUGCUCCAGAAAUGGAGCCGCAGUAAAACGGCCCAAGCGACUGUUUACCAAAAACACAGCUCUCUGCGAAGGCGCAAGCCGAAGUAUAGGGGGUGACGCCUGCCCGGUGCUGGAAGGUCAAGGGGAGCUGUCAGCGCAAGCGAAGCAGCGAGCCGAAGCCCCAGUAAACGGCGGCCGUAACUAUAACGGUCCUAAGGUAGCGAAAUUCCUUGUCGGGCAAGUUCCGACCCGCACGAAAGGCGUAACGAUUUGGGCGCUGUCUCAGCUGUAGACUCGGUGAAGUCUUAGUACCUGUGAAGAUGCAGGUUGCCCGCGACUAGACGGAAAGACCCCAUGGAGCUUCACUGCAGGUUGACAUUGGGCUUGGAUGCAUGAUGUACAGGAUAGGUGGGAGGCUGUGAGCCGUGCGCGCCAGCGUACGGGGAGCCGCUGUUGGGAUACCACCCUUCAUGCAUCCAGGUCCUAACCGGAGGCAACGGGCCACGGGACAGUGUCAGUCGGGCAGUUUGACUGGGGCGGUCGCCUCCCAAAGAGUAACGGAGGCGCCCAAAGAUACCCUCAGCAUGGAUGGAAACCAUGUAUAGAGUGCAAAGGCAUAAGGGUGUCUGACUGCGAGACAUACAGGUCGAGCAGGGACGAAAGUCGGGCUUAGUGAUCCGGCGGAUCCGAAUGGAAGGGCCGUCGCUCAACGGGUAAAAGCUACCCUGGGGAUAACAGGCUGAUCUCCCCCAAGAGUUCACAUCGACGGGGAGGUUUGGCACCUCGAUGUCGGCUCAUCGCAUCCUGGAGCUGAAGUCGGUUCCAAGGGUUGGGCUGUUCGCCCAUUAAAGCGGUACGCGAGCUGGGUUCAGAACGUCGUGAGACAGUUCGGUCCCUAUCUGUCGUGGGCGCAGGAGGUUUGAGGAGAGCUGCCCCUAGUACGAGAGGACCGGGGUGGACGGACCGAUGGUGCACCAGUUGUCACGCCAGUGGCACAGCUGGGCAGCCAAGUCCGGACGGGAUAAGCGCUGAAGGCAUCUAAGCGUGAAGCCCCCUCCAAGAUGAGACCUCCCAUUGGCGACAAGUAAGGCCCCUCGAAGACGACGAGGUUGAUAGGCCGCGAGUGCAAGCGCAGCGAUGUGCUUAGCGGGGCGGUACUAAUAGGCCGAGGACUUUGUC